RNAcentral lists this unclassified non-coding RNA (351 nucleotides) under soil metagenome. RNAcentral describes it as "partial contains 5.8S ribosomal RNA, internal transcribed spacer 2, and large subunit ribosomal RNA". The stretch from base 1 to 120 matches the Rfam family "5.8S ribosomal RNA", at positions 35 to 154 of the family's 154-position model. The record is from RNAcentral.
GAUGAAGAACGUAGCGAAAUGCGAUAAGUAAUGUGAAUUGCAGAAUUCAGUGAAUCAUCGAAUCUUUGAACGCACAUUGCGCCCGCCAGUAUUCUGGCGGGCAUGCCUGUUCGAGCGUCAUUACAACCCUCAGGCCCCCGGGCCUGGCGUUGGGGAUCGGCGGAGCCCCCCGUGGGCACACGCCGUCCCCCAAAUGCAGUGGCGGUCCCGCCGCAGCUUCCAUCGCGUAGUAGCUAACACCUCGCGACUGGAGAGCGGCGGGCCACGCCGUAAAACACCCAACUCUUCUGAAGUUGACCUCGAAUCAGGUAGGAAUACCCGCUGAACUUAAGCAUAUCAAUAAGCGGAGGA